AAUGAACGCUGGCGGCGUGCUUAACACAUGCAAGUCGCACGAGAACGCUUUAGCUUGCUAGAGCUAGUAAAGUGGCGCACGGGUGAGUAACGCGUGGGUAAUCUACCCCUGAAUUUGGGAUAACGUUGCGAAAGCGACGCUAAUACCGGAUGAUAUCCGAGUGACUUUGGUUAUUUGGAUCAAAGGUGGCCUCUACAUGUAAGCUACUGUUUAGGGAUGAGCCCGCGUACCAUUAGCUAGUUGGUAGGGUAAAGGCCUACCAAGGCGACGAUGGUUAGCUGGUCUGAGAGGAUGAUCAGCCACACUGGAACUGACACACGGUCCAGACUCCUACGGGUGGCAG
This 343-nucleotide ribosomal RNA is filed under the name uncultured Pseudomonadota bacterium. RNAcentral's name for it is "bacterial SSU rRNA". It matches the Rfam family "Bacterial small subunit ribosomal RNA", at positions 29 to 351 of the family's 1533-position model. The record is from RNAcentral. Lineage: Bacteria; Pseudomonadati; Pseudomonadota.